AGAAGCAGCACAAACAGUUAGAAACAUCUGAAUGUUGAAUGAAACUUGGUAUAAAACAUCAGAAAAUUAAUGCCAUAAAUAUUGUAUUAUCAGAACAAAAGGGUUAACGACAUGUUAAGUGCAAAGGGAGGUCAUAAUAAAUACAAUCACUUUGGUUUAUAGAAUAGAGGCCUAUUUUC
Molecule: long non-coding RNA, 179 nt
Organism: Sphaeramia orbicularis (orbiculate cardinalfish)
Lineage: Eukaryota; Metazoa; Chordata; Actinopteri; Kurtiformes; Apogonidae
Exons: 3
Source: RefSeq, a predicted model, not a curated record